RNAcentral lists this ribosomal RNA (481 nucleotides) under uncultured bacterium. RNAcentral describes it as "bacterial SSU rRNA". It matches the Rfam family "Bacterial small subunit ribosomal RNA", at positions 29 to 485 of the family's 1533-position model. The record is from RNAcentral.
AACUAACGCUAGCGGCGUGCCUAACACAUGCAAGUCGUACGAGAAAGUCGGCUUCGGCCGGCGAGUAAAGUGGCGCACGGGUGAGUAACGCGUGGAUAAUCUACCCUUGAGUUGGGAAUAACGUGCCGAAAGGUGCGCUAAUACCGAAUAAUACUGAGUGACUAAUGUUGCUUAGUCAAAGAAGGCCUCUGCUUGCAAGCUUUCGCUGAAGGAUGAGUCCGCGUACCAUUAGCUAGUUGGUAGGGUAAUGGCCUACCAAGGCAACGAUGGUUAGCUGGUCUGAGAGGAUGAUCAGCCACACUGGAACUGAGACACGGUCCAGACUCCUACGGGAGGCAGCAGUGAGGAAUAUUGCGCAAUGGGGGCAACCCUGACGCAGCAACGCCGCGUGAGUGAGGAAGGUUUUCGGACCGUAAAGCUCUGUCGAGCGGGAAGAAAUGCAUGCUGGCUAAUAUCCAUCAUGCUUGACGGUACCGCUAGA